Molecule: ribosomal RNA, 465 nt
Filed under: uncultured bacterium
Lineage: Bacteria
Description: bacterial SSU rRNA
Rfam family: Bacterial small subunit ribosomal RNA
Source: RNAcentral
CCUACGGGGGGCUGCAGUAGGGAAUCUUCCGCAAUGGGCGAAAGUCUGACGGAGCAACGCCGCGUGAGCGAAGAAGGCCUUCGGGUCGUAAAGCUCUGUUGUUAGGGAAGAACAAGUAAGGCAGUAACUGGCGUUACCGUGACGGUACCUGACGAGAAAGCCACGGCUAACUAACUGACAGCAGCCGCGGUAAUACGUAGGUGGCAAGCGUUGUCCGGAAUUAGUGGGCGUAAAGCGCGGGCAGGCGGUCUUUUAAGUCUGAUGUGAAAUCUUGCGGCUCAACCGCAAGCGGUCAUUGGAAACUGGGAGACUUGAGUGCAGAAGAGGAGAGCGGAAUUCCACGUGUAGCGGUGAAAUGCGUAGAGAUGUGGAGGUACACCAGUGGCGAAGGCGGCUUUCUGGUCUGUAACUGACGCUGAGGCGCGAAAGCGUGGGGAGCAAACAGGAUUAGAUACCCCAGUAGUC